CCCAGUAACUGCGAGUGAAGAGGGAAGAGCUCAUCAUUGGAAUCUGGCAGCGUUGCGCUGUCCGAGUUGUAGAUGAGAAGAGUAGGCCAUCUGGACUGCGUGGUGUCCAAGUACAAUAGGCCGUCAGUGGGACAUCAUAGAGGGUGACAAUCCCGUCCUUGACACCAACGUACGAGUCCAUUACGAUGCCUAUCUCAGAGAGUCGAGCAGUUUGGGAUUUGCUGCUUAAACAUGGGAGGUAGAUUCCUUCUAAAGCUAAAUACAGGCAAGAGACCGAUAGAGAACAAGUACCGCAAGGGAAAGAUGAAAUAGAACUCUGUGAAGGGAGUCAAAAAGACGUGAAAUUGUUGCGAGAGAAGCGAUUCAAGUCAGCGUAGCUAGGCCCAUCAAGCCUUGCUUUGGACUAGCUUUGCCAGCGGUCUUGUCCUUUAGAGAGACUUGACUUUUGACAUGCCCUGCCCGGUCUAACGGGCAGACCUCCCUCUGGGAGGCCAGUGGCAUGGCUGGUGGAAUGGCUUGCAAUCGACCCGUCUUGAAACACGGACCAAGGAGUCUAACAUGUGUGCGAGUAUAAGGGUGGCAAACCCGUAUGCGCAAAGAAAGUGAUAGCCUUUUAUGGCUGAGAAUGGCCUGAUGACCAGACAAGCAAUAUUAUGUUCCUCGUACGGUCAUUGCCCAAGUCCCGUGGUCAGAUCCCAUGGACAUGGAGUUAGAGCAUACAUGCUAGGACCCGAAAGAUGGUGAACUAUGCCUGGACAAAGCGAAGCCAAAGGAAACUCUGGUGGAGGCUUGUAGCGAUUCUGACGUGCAAAUCGAUCGUCUGAUCUGGGUAUAGGGGCGAAAGACU
Molecule: ribosomal RNA, 847 nt
Filed under: Cantharellus cinnabarinus
Lineage: Eukaryota; Fungi; Basidiomycota; Agaricomycetes; Cantharellales; Hydnaceae
Description: partial large subunit ribosomal RNA
Rfam family: Eukaryotic large subunit ribosomal RNA
Source: RNAcentral